CCUUACUGCUAUCGGGGUGGGACUAAGACAUGCGAGUCGAGCGUCUCUAGCUAUGUUGAGACGCGGCAGACGGCUCAGUAACACGUGGCUAACCUACCCUCAGGACGAGGAUAAACCCGGGAAACUGGGGCUAAUACUCGAUAGGUGAGAAUGUCUGGAAUGAUUUCUCAUUCAAAGGGCUUUAGAAACAUGCUUCUAAAGCCGCCUGGGGAUGGGGCCGCGUCCGAUCAGGUUGUUGGUAAGGUAACGGCUCACCAAGCCUAUAACCGGUACGGGCCGUGAGAGCGGUAGCCCGGAGAUGGGUACUGAGACAAGGACCCAGGCCCUACGGGGCGCAGCAGUCGCGAAAACUCCGCAAUGCACGAAAGUGUGACGGGGCUACCCCGAGUGCCAUCCGCUGAGGAUGGCUUUUCUUUGGUGUAACUAGCCGGGGGAAUAAGGAGAGGGCAAGACUGGUGUCAGCCGCCGCGGUAAUACCAGCUCUCCGAGUGGUAGGGAUGAUUAUUGGGCUUAAAGCGUCCGUAGCCGGCUUAGCAAGUCUCCUGUUAAAUUCAGCGACCUAAUCGUUGAGCCGCGGGAGAUACUACUAGGCUAGGAGGCGGGAGAGGUCGACGGUACUUCUGGGGUAGGGGUGAAAUCCUAUAAUCCCGGGAGGACCACCAGUGGCGAAGGCUGUUGACUAGAACGCGCUCGACGGUGAGGGACGAAAGCUGGGGGGGCGAACCGGAUUAGAUACCCGGGUAGUCCCAGCCGUAAACGAUGCGGGCUAGGUGUUGGGGUGGCUACGUGCCACUUCAGUGCCGCAGGGAAGCCAUUAAGCCCGCCGCCUGGGGAGUACGGCCGCAAGGCUGAAACUUAAAGGAAUUGGCGGGGGAGCACCACAAGGCGUGAGGCUUGCGGUUC
Molecule: ribosomal RNA, 903 nt
Filed under: uncultured archaeon
Lineage: Archaea
Description: bacterial SSU rRNA
Rfam family: Archaeal small subunit ribosomal RNA
Source: RNAcentral